AACCUCCGCAAUGUGAGAAAUCGCGACGGGGGGAUCCCAAGUGCCAUUCUUAACGGGAUGGCUUUUCAUUAGUGUAAAGAGCUUUUGGAAUAAGGGCUGGGCAAGACCGGUGCCAGCCGCCGCGGUAACACCGGCAGCUCUAGUGGUAGCAGUUUUUAUUGGGCCUAAAGCGUCCGUAGCCGGUUUAAUAAGUCUCUGGUGAAAUCCUGUAGCUUAACUGUGGGAAUUGCUGGAGAUACUAUUAGACUUGAGACCGGGAGAGGUUAGAGGUACUCCCAGGGUAGAGGUGAAAUUCUGUAAUCCUGGGAGGACCGCCUGUUGCGAAGGCGUCUAACUGGAACGGUUCUGACGGUGAGGGACGAAAGUUAGGGGCGCGAACCGGAUUAGAUACCCGGGGUAUCCUAACUGUAACGAUGCGGACUUGGUGUUGGGGUGGCUUUGAGCUGCUCCAGUGCCGAAGGGAAGCUGUUAAGUCCGCCGCCUGGGAAGUACGGUCGCAAGACUGAAACUUAAAGGAAGU
RNAcentral lists this ribosomal RNA (520 nucleotides) under uncultured bacterium. RNAcentral's name for it is "bacterial SSU rRNA". It matches the Rfam family "Archaeal small subunit ribosomal RNA", at positions 345 to 866 of the family's 1478-position model. The record is from RNAcentral.